This 398-nucleotide ribosomal RNA is filed under the name uncultured bacterium. Its description in RNAcentral is "partial 16S ribosomal RNA". It matches the Rfam family "Bacterial small subunit ribosomal RNA", at positions 338 to 733 of the family's 1533-position model. The record is from RNAcentral.
CCUACGGGUGGCAGCAGUGAGGAAUAUUGGUCAAUGGGCGCGAGCCUGAACCAGCCAAGUAGCGUGAAGGAUGACAGCCCUAUGGGUUGUAAACUUCUUUUAUAAAGGAAUAAAGUGAGGCACGUGUGCCUUUUUGUAUGUACCUUAUGAAUAAGGAUCGGCUAAUUCCGUGCCAGCAGCCGCGGUAAUACGGAGGAUGCGAGCGUUAUCCGGAUUUAUUGGGUUUAAAGGGAGCGUAGAGGGGUUGUUAAGUCAGUUGUGAAAGUCUGCGGCUCAACCGUAAAAUUGCAGUUGAUACUGGCAGCCUUGAGUACGCGUGAGGUAGGCGGAAUUCGUGGUGUAGCGGUGAAAUGCUUAGAUAUCACGAAGAACUCCGAUUGCGAAGGCAGCCUACUGGA